Molecule: long non-coding RNA, 453 nt
Organism: Choloepus didactylus (southern two-toed sloth)
Lineage: Eukaryota; Metazoa; Chordata; Mammalia; Pilosa; Megalonychidae
Exons: 4
Source: RefSeq, a predicted model, not a curated record
GAAACGCAGUGUACCGGCAGAACGCAAGAUGCAUAAUAUUCCACUAUAGAUGAAUCGUCGUUUAUUUAACACGUCUUCUACUAAUGGACAGGUCUGUUUGUGGGAAGACUAUUACGUUUUCUUCACUUGCAAAGUGAAAUCAUCAGAAAGCCUUCUCCGUCAUUUCGUACUCUGCACAUUUUCUCCCUCGGACAGGAAGAAUUCAACACCAGACACACACAUAAGAAAUUCCAUUUGUAUAUUUCAGGGUGUAAGUCCCCCAAAUAAAAGACUGCCGUCAAUCGCAUAUGGUGUUCUGAGGAAUGUGGAUUUGGGGUAAAGAGGAAGUCAAAAUUUCAACCAGAGCAGUGAUCUGAUUCUGGAGGACUUCCUGCAAAAGAAAAAGUGGCCACAAAGAUGACCUGGAAUGACCCUGUCCUGAAUCUUCUGUCAGGACCAACUGGAAUAAAAUCA